GUUUAGUUCUCUCUUUUUUCUUGUCUCUUUUAAAUAUCUUUUAAGGUUGAUAACUUAACACAUUAAAAGCUUAAUUAAGUUUAGCCAUCAACUUCUCAAACGUGGACUUCAGAAAUCCAAAUUCAAGGAGUUAAAUCCUGCAUCGUUUCACAUUUCAUGCGCCAACUGCGGAGCCCAGUUUCACAGAAAUCAGAGGCAAAAUCAACUAACAGCUUCCUCAUUAAGAGCCUGACUCGAAAGAGAACUUGAGUUCUAUGGAUUGUGCCGAUCGGCUAGAAAUGAAAAAUUCUCAAAAAAUCUCGUACACAGUCUCGUGGAGCGGCAUAGUUGUACCCAAAAUUUUGCUGGGCGUUGAUCCUUCGUUCACUUCAACCUGGAAGAGCCGAUGGAUCAACUUCUAGUUCUCAGGUAUGAAGAUUAACGACAACAAUGCUUCGCCAAAUCAGCGAUCGAUCUAGGCAGGAAGCUCAAGAAUAAAGUGUAGCUUUCGAUGGGUUUUAAGCAAAAAUUGCAAUGUACUAAGUUCAAAUCUUUUGCAAAUGAUCCAGAAAAUAAAUGUAAUGAUUCGUUCUCUCAAUACAGUUCAAAGUGUAAUAUUUGGAUAAGUAAAAGUACUUAGCAACAGAUUCGCUCGCUCACUUAAUCAAACUGAAUACAGCACAAAUACGAUUGAUAAUAAUAUUGAUAGCAACAUGCAAGCAAGAGCGGGUCCGA
This is a long non-coding RNA of Asparagus officinalis (garden asparagus), 714 nucleotides long. RefSeq lists it as uncharacterized. The transcript is spliced from 3 exons. NCBI's taxonomy places the organism in Eukaryota, Viridiplantae, Streptophyta, Magnoliopsida, Asparagales, Asparagaceae. The record is from RefSeq and is a predicted model, not a curated record.